GAUGAACGCUGGCGGCGUGCUUAACACAUGCAAGUCGAACGGAAAGGCCCCUGCUUGCAGGGGUACUCGAGUGGCGAACGGGUGAGUAACACGUGGGUGAUCUGCCCUUCACUUCGGGAUAAGUCUGGGAAACUGGGUCUAAUACCGGAUAGGACCACAUUCUGGAUGGUGUGGUGGAAAGUUUUUCGGUGGGUGGUGAGGUCGUGGCGUAUCAGCUGGUUGGUGGGGUAAUGGCCAACUAAGGCGUCGACGGGUAGCCGGCCUGGGAGGGGGGACGGCACCAUUGGGCCGGAGUAAGGGCCCGGACGCAUAGGGAGGGCAGCGGUGGGGAAGGUUGCAAAAGGGGCGCAGGCCUACUGAACCGACGCCGGGUGGGGGAGGACGGCCUUCGGGUUGUAAACUCCUUUCGCUGGGAACGAAGCGCAAGUGACGGUACCUGGAGAAAAGGCACCGGCAAACUACGU
RNAcentral lists this ribosomal RNA (464 nucleotides) under uncultured bacterium. RNAcentral describes it as "partial 16S ribosomal RNA". It matches the Rfam family "Bacterial small subunit ribosomal RNA", at positions 28 to 506 of the family's 1533-position model. The record is from RNAcentral.